GGAGAGGUGGCUGAGUGGUUGAAAGCAACGAUUUGCUAAAUCGUCACUUAUUAUUAAAUAUAUCAUAAGUCAUGGGUUCAAAUCCCAUUCUUUCCA
RNAcentral lists this transfer RNA (96 nucleotides) under Asparagopsis taxiformis. Its description in RNAcentral is "tRNA-Ser". It matches the Rfam family "tRNA". Rfam says of the family: Transfer RNA (tRNA) molecules are approximately 80 nucleotides in length. Their secondary structure includes four short double-helical elements and three loops (D, anti-codon, and T loops). Further hydrogen bonds mediate the characteristic L-shaped molecular structure. tRNAs have two regions of fundamental functional importance: the anti-codon, which is responsible for specific mRNA codon recognition, and the 3' end, to which the tRNAs corresponding amino acid is attached (by aminoacyl-tRNA synthetases). tRNAs cope with the degeneracy of the genetic code in two manners: having more than one tRNA (with a specific anti-codon) for a particular amino acid; and 'wobble' base-pairing, i.e. permitting non-standard base-pairing at the 3rd anti-codon position. The record is from RNAcentral. Lineage: Eukaryota; Rhodophyta; Florideophyceae; Bonnemaisoniales; Bonnemaisoniaceae.